RNAcentral lists this ribosomal RNA (372 nucleotides) under uncultured organism. RNAcentral describes it as "bacterial SSU rRNA". It matches the Rfam family "Bacterial small subunit ribosomal RNA", at positions 526 to 896 of the family's 1533-position model. The record is from RNAcentral.
CGUAGGGGGCAAGCGUUGUCCGGAAUCAUUGGGCGUAAAGAGCGCGUAGGCGGCCCAGUAAGUCCGCUCUGAAAGUCAGGGGCUCAACCCCUGGAUGCGGGUGGAUACUGCUGGGCUAGAGUCCGGAAGAGGCGAGUGGAAUUCCUGGUGUAGCGGUGAAAUGCGCAGAUAUCAGGAGGAACACCGAUGGCGAAGGCAGCUCGCUGGGACGGUACUGACGCUGAGGCGCGAAAGCGUGGGGAGCAAACAGGAUUAGAUACCCUGGUAGUCCACGCCGUAAACGAUGGACACUAGGUGUGGGAGGUGUCGACUCCUCCCGUGCCGAAGCUAACGCAUUAAGUGUCCCGCCUGGGGAGUACGGCCGCAAGGCUA